GUGGGGAAUAUUGGACAAUGGGCGAAAGCCUGAUCCAGCCAUGCCGCGUGUGUGAAGAAGGCCUUUUGGUUGUAAAGCACUUUAAGCGAGGAGGAGGCUACUGAGAUUAAUACUCUUGGAUAGUGGACGUUACUCGCAGAAUAAGCACCGGCUAACUCUGUGCCAGCAGCCGCGGUAAUACAGAGGGUGCGAGCGUUAAUCGGAUUUACUGGGCGUAAAGCGUGCGUAGGCGGCUUUUUAAGUCGGAUGUGAAAUCCCUGAGCUUAACUUAGGAAUUGCAUUCGAUACUGGGAAGCUAGAGUAUGGGAGAGGAUGGUAGAAUUCCAGGUGUAGCGGUGAAAUGCGUAGAGAUCUGGAGGAAUACCGAUGGCGAAGGCAGCCAUCUGGCCUAAUACUGACGCUGAGGUACGAAAGCAUGGGGAGCAAACAGGAUUAGAUACCCUAGUAGUCC
Molecule: ribosomal RNA, 451 nt
Filed under: uncultured bacterium
Lineage: Bacteria
Description: partial 16S ribosomal RNA
Rfam family: Bacterial small subunit ribosomal RNA
Source: RNAcentral